RNAcentral lists this ribosomal RNA (492 nucleotides) under uncultured bacterium. Its description in RNAcentral is "partial 16S ribosomal RNA". It matches the Rfam family "Bacterial small subunit ribosomal RNA", at positions 29 to 507 of the family's 1533-position model. The record is from RNAcentral.
AGUGAACGCUGGCGGUAGGCCUAACACAUGCAAGUCGAACGGCAGCACAGUAAGAGCUUGCUCUUACGGGUGGCGAGUGGCGGACGGGUGAGGAAUACAUCGGAAUCUACUUUUUCGUGGGGGAUAACGUAGGGAAACUUACGCUAAUACCGCAUACGACCUACGGGUGAAAGCAGGGGAUCUUCGGACCUUGCGCGAUUGAAUGAGCCGAUGUCGGAUUAGCUAGUUGGCGGGGUAAAGGCCCACCAAGGCGACGAUCCGUAGCUGGUCUGAGAGGAUGAUCAGCCACACUGGAACUGAGACACGGUCCAGACUCCUACGGGAGGCAGCAGUGGGGAAUAUUGGACAAAGGGCGCAAGCCUGAUCCAGCCAUACCGCGUGGGUGAAGAAGGCCUUCGGGUUGUAAAGCCCUUUUGUUGGGAAAGAAAAGCAGCAGGUUAAUACCCCACUGUUCUGACGGUACCCAAAGAAUAAGCACCGGCUAACUUCGUG